This is a long non-coding RNA of Salvia splendens (bonfire salvia), 884 nucleotides long. RefSeq lists it as uncharacterized. NCBI's taxonomy places the organism in Eukaryota, Viridiplantae, Streptophyta, Magnoliopsida, Lamiales, Lamiaceae. The record is from RefSeq and is a predicted model, not a curated record. The transcript is spliced from 2 exons.
CCCUAGAUCUCGAGAGCUCCAUUUGCAAUGGCUUACUCGGCCGACUCCUCUCCUUGUUCUUUAUUGGUAGAUCUGGAAGUUCUCGUCGUCCCAGAUACGCCGGAACAUCUGUGGUCAUCUGACUCCGCCAUCGGAGAAUCUGUCGUCGUCGGGACCCUAACCGACACCGUUGUUCCCGAAACCCAAUUUGAUUCAUCCAUUCCCGAGUAUGUUGACUGUGGUUGUGGUUGCCCCUACUACGGUCCACCAACACGAGCCACCCCCUCCGACUUUCCACCAGCCUCCCCCAUCGAUCCAGCUCAAGCCACCCCCAACCGUGUGUAUUCUAACGUUGAGAGGCAGAUGUUUGCUAUUCUUCUGCCCAAGUUUUUAGAUCUUAUCUAAGUACUCCACUCUGGAUCUGUUUUUUGGCCUCUGACCAGAUCUUAUAGACUGUCUUCCGGCUCACUCCAAACUCCUUUUCUGCCUUCUGAAAAGCUCCAUAUGGCACAUUACCUAAAUGGCUCGAUUGUAGCAGACUUUGAGCUAUCAAAUUUUUUGUGGUCACUGGUAUGACGUGUGACUCUCUGUUUCUGUCUCUGUUUCUGGCAAUAUCUUCGGCGAUGUCUCCGGCAGCAGGCUCCAUAGCCCAGUGAUGAAAAUUUUCUGAGGGCAAAUGAUCAAAAACUCUCCUUUAGUUGUAUAGGUAGUCCUUUUAUAGAUGGUGGUAGUUGGAGUUUCCCUUCUAAUUUGUUGUGCUCCCUCCUAAAAUUUGGUGGUCACUGGUAUGACGUGUGACUCUCUGUUACAGAUGUUGUACUCCCUCCUAAAAUUUGUUGUAAGUUUAAUGGGAUUUGGGAUUUCCCUCCAAAAAACUGCAAUUUGUAAUGUGAUGGAAGUUUUAU